ACUCGUAAUGCGAGUUAAAACAUUCAUAGAAGACGUCAGGGACGAUAUAAUGGGGUUCUACAACACGGUCGUAGAUGCAGUGACGGUAACCUUGCCAUAUGUAGGGAAACAGCUAAUGGAUGCUAUUGCCACGCUCAUUUCCGCGGUCAAAUCUAUACUCUCCAACCCCUCACAGGCUAUGAGUGGAAUAGGUCAGGCACUUAUGAA
Mizuhopecten yessoensis (Yesso scallop) is the source of this 207-nucleotide long non-coding RNA. RefSeq lists it as uncharacterized. The record is from RefSeq and is a predicted model, not a curated record. Lineage: Eukaryota; Metazoa; Mollusca; Bivalvia; Pectinida; Pectinidae. The transcript is spliced from 2 exons.